CAGGUAAAACCCUCUGAGUCUCAACUAGCAAAAUCAAGAGAGCCGCAGGCUCAGUCAGUACCUAUCAGCUCUAAUUUCUCUUUUAUCUUUCCCCCUAAUCCAGACAAGUCUUACAUGUUUUCUGCUCCAUUCUUUGGGUCAAGAAUACACUGGUUAAUAGCCAAUUAUUUCAUACCCUAAGGAAGUUUUGGGAAAGAAGUUCCUGGGGAGACUCAACUUGUUUUAGGAAAUCAGGCUAAUAUUCAGUAGAGAACCCAGACCUUUUUCCCUGAAUGCUGGAGGAAUCAAAACAAAAAGCAGCAGCAUCUUUGCUCACAGCUUCUGCCUUUGUAUGCUUGCUCUGUUGGGCUGAAAAGUUAUUACAGGAACUGCCCUGGGCCACCAGUUGCAAACCCGUCAAAACUUCAAAGGAAAACACAAAGAAGGAAACAUGGGACAGCCUCCUGCUCCCCUCCCACCCCCUGUAAUGUCAUGAGUAUUUUCAACAAGCAAAAUUGACCUGCACAUUCCACUCAUAGCUAAUCAUCAUAAGAGAAACUACAGUGAAUUCAUCAUUUUCCUGGAAGUUUGCAGCACAUAAGUAUCACUUGUAUCUAUGCUCUUUCAUAUACCAGCUCUCAAACAACCACUCACCACUGAGAUAUUCCAUUAGUGUCAUGCUGGGAAUGGAAUGUUUCUAGAUUUUAUAACUUGACUUUGAAACAGAGCUUCAUAGCAGUCUUACUCUCAAGAUUACAGUUCAUCUCACAGUCAGAAGGAAGAGUGGAUGUGAUGCAUUCCAGCAUUUCCCCUGCCUAUGCGGUUAAGCUAGCUGCUGGGUGACACCAGGCUGCCUUGAUCCUGAGUGUACAGUGAAAUAGUCAAUACAGUCAGAGCAGGGUACAAAUUAUGGCUCAGUCAGUGUUUCUUCCUCUGCUCAUUGCUUGCAUAAGUAGCAAGUAACUUCACACUUGCUUGUUAAAUAGCUUACUUCCUUAUAAUGGACACAAGGAAGGAAUUUUCCAACUUUUUCAUCCUUUGACCUCUCUCCUAUCUGAGCUUGUCUAUGUCAGAUGGGCUCAGUGACAGUAUGCCUAAGAAAGGCAAUUUCUCUCCAAUAAACACCUCUUUGUUCUGCCAAAUGGGUUAUAAGAACGCACUCCAAAAUGAAUAAUAAGUGGCUAUAAUAAUUAUUUGAAUGUUUACCUAUUCUUAUUUGAGGGGGUAAAGAUACUCUUUUUAAAAUUCUGAAUGCACAGAAGGGCAAUAUUGAUAACCGUUUCCUCUCUGAAGUGCCGUACUUCCUUUUUAGAGCUCAAUUUCAGAUUUCAGUGAAGCAUAGGACUACUAAUCUCUGAUCAAAAGGGUGAGAGUCAAAUCAGAAUCUGGAUUUCAGUCUUAUUUCUUCAUUUUUACAUGUGGAAGAUGAUGCAUUGUUGUUCAUCGCUUUGUGGUCAGUCUUAAAGGGGAAUGGUGACCUUACAUCAUUUGAUUAAUGCUCCAGUUAUUACGGGUUUACAGAUCAGCAUUUGUCUCCAUUCCCUGUGACCACUGAGUCAGACACCUUAUAUUUUUUGAACUUUGUACCUUUUUUUUUUUUCAUUUUCAGUAGAAUCUUCUGUCAGGAGUGGGGUUAAUUAACUUCAAAGGGACUGACUGUGGAGAGCAGUGAUUGACUGGGGGGGGGGGGAUGUAGUUGGUAUGGAGACAGGGAGAGCAGCAGGGCUAUGGGGCUGUAAUAUGAUGUAGGCAGAAAGGAUGAACUGACUGCUGAACAAGAAGGAGAGGCUAACGCUCACUGAACUACUAAGUAAAUCUGUGCUGAGGACCAGGGUAAGAUGAAUAAAGAGCAAUGCCUUUAUCAACAUUUUCCUUUUUUAAACAUGCACCCAUUUGCUCUUAUUCACACAACGGUAUAAUGGAUCACAGUGCCAGCACUGAAAGGAAAAGCAGUAGCAGUGCAGGCUAUCAUUAGUUGCCAUUGUUUCCAAAGACUUUUGUAUAUUCUGGUAAGAAACAGAGUGAGCUGCCUGCCCUCAGAAAUGGCUUCUUGAGACAACUCAGAAAUCAGUUAUAUCAGAUAACACUCUGCAAUGAGUUUCAUUGAAUUUAUGUGAGAGCAAGGUCGCAUUUAAGAUGGUUAAUGUUAGCAGAGUGUUGUCCAUGGUAAAUAGAAGGUGGUCUAUUCUUAUUAAUAAU
Pezoporus occidentalis (night parrot) is the source of this 2178-nucleotide long non-coding RNA. RefSeq lists it as uncharacterized. The record is from RefSeq and is a predicted model, not a curated record. Lineage: Eukaryota; Metazoa; Chordata; Aves; Psittaciformes; Psittacidae. The transcript has 3 exons.